This 256-nucleotide ribosomal RNA is filed under the name Sphingobacterium spiritivorum. RNAcentral's name for it is "partial 16S ribosomal RNA". It matches the Rfam family "Bacterial small subunit ribosomal RNA", at positions 527 to 782 of the family's 1533-position model. Lineage: Bacteria; Pseudomonadati; Bacteroidota; Sphingobacteriia; Sphingobacteriales; Sphingobacteriaceae. The record is from RNAcentral.
GGAGGAUCCAAGCGUUAUCCGGAUUUAUUGGGUUUAAAGGGUGCGUAGGCGGUCUUUUAAGUCAGGGGUGAAAUACGGCAGCUCAACUGUCGCAGUGCCCUUGAUACUGAAGGACUUGAAUAUGGUUGAGGUAUGCGGAAUGAGACAAGUAGCGGUGAAAUGCAUAGAUAUGUCUCAGAACACCGAUUGCGAAGGCAGCAUCCCAAGCCAUCAUUGACGCUGAUGCACGAAAGCGUGGGGAUCGAACAGGAUUAGA